Molecule: ribosomal RNA, 375 nt
Filed under: uncultured bacterium
Lineage: Bacteria
Description: bacterial SSU rRNA
Rfam family: Bacterial small subunit ribosomal RNA
Source: RNAcentral
UACGGAGGGUGCAAGCGUUAAUCGGAAUUACUGGGCGUAAAGCGCACGCAGGCGGUCUGUCAAGUCGGAUGUAAAAUCCCCGGGCUCAACCUGGGAACUGCAUUCGAAACUGUCAGGCUAGAGUCUUGUAGAGGGGGGUAGAAUUCCAGGUGUAGCGGUGAAAUGCGUAGAGAUCUGGAGGAAUACCGGUGGCGAAGGCGGCCCCCUGGACAAAGACUGACGCUCAGGUGCGAAAGCGUGGGGAGCAAACAGGAUUAGAUACCCUGGUAGUCCACGCCGUAAACGAGGUCGAUUGGGAGGUUGUGCCCUUGAGGCGUGGCUUCCGGAGCUAACGCGUUAAAUCGACCGCCUGGGGAGUACGGCCGCAAGGUUAAA